Molecule: RNA transcript, 1693 nt
Organism: Rhinopithecus roxellana (golden snub-nosed monkey)
Lineage: Eukaryota; Metazoa; Chordata; Mammalia; Primates; Cercopithecidae
Gene name: V-type proton ATPase subunit B, brain isoform pseudogene
Exons: 1
Source: RefSeq, a predicted model, not a curated record
CAGUCCGGACGGAGGAGACAUGAUGGCGCUGCGGGCGAUGCGGGGGAUUGUCAACGGGGCCGCACCCGAGCUACCCGUGCCCACCGGUGGGCCGGCGGUGGGAGCUCGGGAGCAGGCGCUGGCCGUCAGUCGGAACUACCUCUCCCAGCCUCGCCUCACAUACAAGACAGUAUCUGGAGUCAAUGGUCCGCUAGUGAUCUUAGAUCAUGUUAAGUUUCCCAGGUAUGCUGAAAUCGUCCAUUUGACCUUACCAGAUGGCACGAAGAGAAGUGGGCAAGUUCUGGAAGUUAGUGGUUCCAAGGCAGUAGUUCAGGUGUUUGAAGGGACUUCAGGUAUAGAUGCUAAGAAAACAUCCUGUGAGUUUACUGGGGAUAUUCUCCGAACACCAGUGUCUGAGGAUAUGCUUGGUCGAGUAUUCAAUGGAUCGGGAAAACCCAUUGACAGAGGUCCUGUUGUACUGGCUGAAGACUUCCUUGAUAUCAUGGGUCAGUCAAUCAACCCUCAAUGUCGAAUCUACCCAGAGGAAAUGAUUCAGACCGGCAUUUCAGCCAUCGAUGGAAUGAACAGUAUUGCCAGGGGGCAGAAAAUUCCUAUCUUCUCUGCUGCUGGGCUACCACACAAUGAGAUUGCAGCUCAGAUCUGUCGCCAGGCUGGUUUGGUAAAGAAAUCCAAAGAUGUAGUAGACUACAGUGAGGAAAAUUUUGCAAUUGUAUUUGCUGCUAUGGGUGUAAACAUGGAAACUGCCCGGUUCUUCAAAUCUGACUUUGAAGAAAAUGGCUCAAUGGACAAUGUCUGCCUCUUUUUGAACUUGGCUAAUGACCCAACCAUUGAGCGAAUUAUCACUCCUCGCCUGGCUCUAACCACAGCUGAAUUUCUGGCGUACCAAUGUGAGAAACAUGUAUUGGUUAUCCUCACAGACAUGAGUUUUUACGCUGAAGCACUUCGAGAGGUUUCAGCAGCCAGGGAAGAGGUUCCUGGUCGACGAGGCUUCCCAGGUUACAUGUAUACAGAUUUAGCCACAAUAUAUGAACGCGCUGGACGAGUGGAAGGGAGAAAUGGCUCGAUUACUCAAAUCCCUAUUCUUACCAUGCCUAAUGAUGAUAUCACUCACCCAAUCCCGGACUUGACUGGCUACAUUACAGAGGGGCAAAUCUAUGUGGACAGACAGCUACACAACAGACAGAUUUAUCCACCUAUCAAUGUGCUGCCCUCACUCUCACGGUUAAUGAAGUCUGCUAUUGGAGAAGGGAUGACCAGGAAGGAUCAUGCCGAUGUAUCUAACCAGCUGUAUGCGUGCUAUGCUAUUGGGAAGGAUGUACAAGCCAUGAAAGCUGUCGUUGGAGAAGAAGCCCUUACCUCAGAUGAUCUUCUCUACUUGGAAUUUCUGCAGAAGUUUGAGAGGAACUUUAUUGCUCAGGGUCCUUACGAAAAUCGCACUGUCUUUGAGACUUUGGACAUUGGCUGGCAGCUGCUCCGGAUCUUCCCCAAAGAAAUGCUAAAGAGAAUCCCUCAGAGCACCCUGAGCGAAUUUUACCCUCGAGACUCUGCAAAGCAUUAGCUGCUGCUUCUGCACUGCCCCACACUCUUGUGAAAUACUGGUUCUAUUUUCUUUAUUCCUUUUGCGCUCCCCAAUCCCCACCUUUGUGUUGGAGUUUACCGUGUUACCCUGUAAUUAAAAACAAAGAAUAGGUAA